CCCGCUGAACUUAAGCAUAUCAAUAAGCGGAGGAAAAGAAACUAACAAGGAUUCCCCUAGUAACGGCGAGUGAAACGGGAAUAGCCCAACUUGAAAAUCUCCCUUUGGAGAAUUGUAGUCUAUAGAAGCGCCCUCUGUGGCGGCCGGGGUCCAAGUCCACUGGAAAGUGGCGUCAGAGAGGGUGAGAACCCCGUCGACUCUAGGCUUAGCUACUCCACGAGGUGCUUUCCACGAGUCGGGUUGUUUGGGAAUGCAGCCCAAAAUGGGAGGUAAAUCCCUUCUAAGGCUAAAUAUUGGCGAGAGACCGAUAGCGAACAAGUACCGUGAGGGAAAGAUGAAAAGAACUUUGAAAAGAGAGUUAAAAAGUGCUUGAAAUUGUUGAGAGGGAAGCGAUUGGAGGGUGCGGGUGCGCUCAGGCUUAUGCUUCUCUAACGAGUGGCUGUAUGUGCUGAGUGCUGGUCAGCAUGGGUUAGCCGGGCGGGAUAACAGCAGGGGUUGAUACCCUGCCUAUGCCGUCUGGCUGACCAAGGCGUGAAUGGAGCUUCGCCCUUCGGGAGCUGCUUCAUCAAGAUGCUGGCAGAAGCCCUUCAAUCGGCCCGUCUUGAAACACGG
RNAcentral lists this ribosomal RNA (612 nucleotides) under uncultured fungus. RNAcentral's name for it is "eukaryotic LSU rRNA". It matches the Rfam family "Eukaryotic large subunit ribosomal RNA", at positions 24 to 664 of the family's 3401-position model. Lineage: Eukaryota; Fungi. The record is from RNAcentral.